Molecule: unclassified non-coding RNA, 342 nt
Filed under: soil metagenome
Description: partial contains 5.8S ribosomal RNA, internal transcribed spacer 2, and large subunit ribosomal RNA
Rfam family: 5.8S ribosomal RNA (bases 1-120)
Source: RNAcentral
GAUGAAGAACGCAGCGAAAUGCGAUAAGUAAUGUGAAUUGCAGAAUUCAGUGAAUCAUCGAAUCUUUGAACGCACAUUGCGCCCGCCAGCACUCUGGCGGGCAUGCCUGUUCGAGCGUCAUUUCAACCAUCAAGCCCCCAGGGGCUUGUGCUGGGGCCCUGCGGCUGCCCGCAGGCCCUGAAAACCAGUGGCGGGCUCGCUAGUCACACCGAGCGCAGUAGCACAUCUCGCUCAGGGCGUGCGGCGGGCUCCUGCCGUGAAACCCCCCACUGUAACCCCAAAGGUUGACCUCGGAUCAGGUAGGAAUACCCACUGAACUUAAGCAUAUCAAUAAGCGGAGGA